UACGGAGGAUCCGAGCGUUAUCCGGAUUUAUUGGGUUUAAAGGGUGCGCAGGCGGGAGAUUAAGUCGGCGGUGAAAUUUUGCAGCUCAACUGUAAAAGUGCCUUCGAUACUGGUUUCCUUGAGUGUGGAUGAAGUAGGCGGAAUUUGUGGUGUAGCGGUGAAAUGCUUAGAUAUCACGAGGAACUCCGAUUGCGCAGGCAGCUUACUAAACCACUACUGACGCUCAGGCACGAAGGCGUGGGGAUCAAACAGGAUUAGAUACCCCUGUA
Molecule: ribosomal RNA, 269 nt
Filed under: uncultured prokaryote
Description: partial 16S ribosomal RNA
Rfam family: Bacterial small subunit ribosomal RNA
Source: RNAcentral